UGCAAACUCCAUUCAGCAGUGCGGUG
RNAcentral lists this non-coding RNA (26 nucleotides) under Homo sapiens (human). The record is from RNAcentral. Lineage: Eukaryota; Metazoa; Chordata; Mammalia; Primates; Hominidae.